AACAAACUCUCCGAUGACGCACUUCCUUUUGACAGGAAAUUUGUGUUAAAGUUGAGCAAGUUGCUAGAACAAGAUUGCUGCGAUUUUAUCAGGGUUGACUGCCAAGAAAACUACAAUGGUUUCAGCAUAUGUGGAGCAGCUGAAUGAGAGAUACAGUGAAGAGCAGAAACACCUAAAUUUGGAGCUUUGCAACCUACAGCAGAGUUCAGAUAAUGGCAAAGAUGAGUUGGAGGCUUAUGUUGGAGUAGUAGAGAGACAGUUCCAGGAGGAUAUGUCAUCGCAUGCUAAAUUAAAUGAUCAAAUGGAAGGCAUCUUGCACCAAUAGUAGCCAUCUCACCUGCCAGCCUCAAACAUAGAGCAAUUGAAUCAGCUAUUCACUCUUGAAGUGCUUUUAUUUCCAUUAAUUGUUAUGAUGAAGAGGCACUGUCCAUUGCAGCUUGAAGAAAGGUGCCCACUCUGCAUCUUACUGGUCACAUACACAAUCAUCUUUGCAUGAUCUUUGUAAGAGAUCAAUCAUGGAGGCUGAUGAUUUUAUCGAAGAAAGAAGAAACAAAAAUGAAAAUAUUUUCCAAGAAAAGCUGAUGUCUUCUGCACAGAAUGAUGCAGAGUUUAAUGCCAUUACAUCUGAUGUGUUGACUUCUUCAAAGAAUUCCCUCUUAUUGGAUCAUGAAAUUAGAAAGAUGAUAGAAAGUGUCUCCACAACUUCCUCGGAUCAUCUGAAAUUGCUGAAUGAAAAACACAGUGAAGGUACAGAGUCUAUAA
Long non-coding RNA from Panicum virgatum (switchgrass), 762 nucleotides. RefSeq lists it as uncharacterized. The transcript has 4 exons. NCBI's taxonomy places the organism in Eukaryota, Viridiplantae, Streptophyta, Magnoliopsida, Poales, Poaceae. The record is from RefSeq and is a predicted model, not a curated record.